RNAcentral lists this ribosomal RNA (385 nucleotides) under Oligosoma acrinasum. Its description in RNAcentral is "partial 12S ribosomal RNA". It matches the Rfam family "Bacterial small subunit ribosomal RNA", at positions 794 to 1384 of the family's 1533-position model. Lineage: Eukaryota; Metazoa; Chordata; Lepidosauria; Squamata; Scincidae. The record is from RNAcentral.
GCCCAGCCGUAAACAAAGACAGUAAAAAACACAACACUGUUCGCCAGAGAACUACAAGCUAAGGCUCAAAACUCCAAGGACUUGGCGGUGCUCCACAUCAUCCUAGAGGAGCCUGUCCUAUAAUCGAUACCCCCCGAUCUACCUCACCACUUUUUGAAACUCAGCCUAUAUACCGCCGUCGUCAGCCUACCUUAUGAAAGAAGUAUAGUAAGCAAAAUAAUCACCAAUUAAAACGUCAGGUCAAGGUGUAGCACAUAAAAUGGAAGAGAUGGGCUACACUCUCUACCCCAGAGAACACGAACAGCAUCAAUGAAACCCCGCUCAAAGGUGGAUUUAGUAGUAAGAUAAGCAAGAGAGCUUAUCUUAAACCAGCUCUGGAGCGCGC